AACGUAGGACGCAAGCGUUAUCCGGAGUUACUGGGCGUAAAGCGCGGGCAGGCGGUUACUUAAGUCUGAUGUGAAAUCUCCUCGCUCAACGGGGAGCAGCCAUUGGAAACUGGGCAACUGGAGCCUGACAGAGGUAGACGGAAUUCCGGGUGGAGUGGUGAAAUGCGUAGAGAUCCGGAGGAACACCAGAGGCGAAGGCGGCCUACUGGGUCAGUACUGACGCUGAGCCGCGAAAGCCAGGGGAGCGAACGGG
RNAcentral lists this ribosomal RNA (253 nucleotides) under uncultured bacterium. RNAcentral describes it as "partial 16S ribosomal RNA". It matches the Rfam family "Bacterial small subunit ribosomal RNA", at positions 524 to 776 of the family's 1533-position model. The record is from RNAcentral.